CCUCAAGAAAUACUUUCUCUAAAUGCUUUAUAAGAAUAUCAAGUAUCUUUCUAAAGGAUAGGAGAUCCUACUAGAUUGAUGAGAUAGAGAAAGUACUAUAUAUACUGGCUCAUCUUAAAUAGAUUGUAUAGGUCUUGUGACUCAUUGUUCUUUAGAGACUUUCUCUUUGAGUUCAUCCUCCCACUAUUUCUAAGAAAAU
Molecule: long non-coding RNA, 199 nt
Filed under: Elaeis guineensis (African oil palm)
Lineage: Eukaryota; Viridiplantae; Streptophyta; Magnoliopsida; Arecales; Arecaceae
Description: long non-coding RNA (EGUI_LNC063583)
Source: RNAcentral